UCUGUUUACCUAAUAUAAAACCCAUCUCCAUCCUUUUCAAGACUCCAGGUUCUCUUUCUAGCACCGAACAUGAUCUAAACCUUACCAUGUGCCCUGAAUAGCUGAUGAUUUUUUGACCCUGCCUUUACAUGAAACUAUGAUGGAGGCACUGACAAGAAUCACAGGAAGCUCUGCUGGGAGGAGCCUGAUACCGCACUGAGGAGGUGCCAGAGAAAUGGAAGUAGAGAAACAGGCAGAAACACCAAGCAAUGAGGUCUGUUGCCCAGGCUUGGCUUUGCCAAGCUCUCAACCUUUGGGUUAUGUGGCAGAUAACAGUGAUUCUUCAGCUUUGUUUCAUGGGAAGGAUGUUCCAGAGCUCAGAGGUGUUGAGCCUGACAGUGGUGAUGGCCAGGAGGAAGCUGGCUGGCCAGUACAUGGCCUCUGUUGGCACGUCUUUGUUGGAGCAUUAGGCUCAAGAGCAGCCCUUGCAAGGUGAAAAUCUGAAGACAAAGUGGUCAAAACUAUAGCAGAAGACAGAAUCAUUUAAACUAAGUCCAUUCUGGGUCAAUGUGUGUUCUCCCCACACCAGGUUCUCCUGAACCCAGUGGCAAGCUAUAAGAGCUGUGGAUCAUUGCACUGUGGGAACACAGGCUGUUUUAACAUAAUAAAGCUUUCUAGCUGCUCUAA
This is a long non-coding RNA of Pezoporus occidentalis (night parrot), 666 nucleotides long. RefSeq lists it as uncharacterized. NCBI's taxonomy places the organism in Eukaryota, Metazoa, Chordata, Aves, Psittaciformes, Psittacidae. The record is from RefSeq and is a predicted model, not a curated record. The transcript has 4 exons.